This 337-nucleotide long non-coding RNA is filed under the name Paramuricea clavata. The record is from RNAcentral. Lineage: Eukaryota; Metazoa; Cnidaria; Anthozoa; Malacalcyonacea; Plexauridae.
AGGAGUUUAAAUCGUGCCAACUGUUUUGUGAGAAUUUCGUCAAAAAUUUGGUGCAAACAUGUGUUUGCAACCACGAGAAAACAAUGAAAUUAGAAAGUUUAUAUCCGCAAAUAUUUCAAGAAAUGGUGCAAGAUUAUGUGCGACAAAUGAGGAACUUUGACACAUUUGUUGAGAAGAGCCUUGAAGAUAUUUGAUGUUCGCCAUUGUAAACCAGAGUACUGUAUAUUUUUAUAUCAUAUCGUAUGUUCUACAAAGCAUUGUAUACAGUAUAUAACUGUAGUGUGCCACGCCGAUAAACUAUAUAAGGCAAUAACACACACGGGACAUCAUAGGCAGC